This 55-nucleotide transfer RNA is filed under the name Thalassolituus sp. HI0120. RNAcentral describes it as "tRNA-Lys". It matches the Rfam family "tRNA", at positions 8 to 60 of the family's 71-position model. Rfam says of the family: Transfer RNA (tRNA) molecules are approximately 80 nucleotides in length. Their secondary structure includes four short double-helical elements and three loops (D, anti-codon, and T loops). Further hydrogen bonds mediate the characteristic L-shaped molecular structure. tRNAs have two regions of fundamental functional importance: the anti-codon, which is responsible for specific mRNA codon recognition, and the 3' end, to which the tRNAs corresponding amino acid is attached (by aminoacyl-tRNA synthetases). tRNAs cope with the degeneracy of the genetic code in two manners: having more than one tRNA (with a specific anti-codon) for a particular amino acid; and 'wobble' base-pairing, i.e. permitting non-standard base-pairing at the 3rd anti-codon position. RNAcentral also lists the same sequence under 1 other name. Lineage: Bacteria; Pseudomonadati; Pseudomonadota; Gammaproteobacteria; Oceanospirillales; Oceanospirillaceae. The record is from RNAcentral.
UAGCUCAGUUGGUAGAGCAGUUGGCUUUUAACCAAUUGGUCGCUGGUUCGAAUCC